GUGGACCGAUCGGGCCGCUCGGGGCUCAAUGGGUUAACUGCCGAACCGAAAGAAAUACGUCGAAUCGCGCGUGGGGGAUAGGAAAAAGAUGGCGGGUAACGGAAAAAUGUCACGCGUAACGAAAAAAUGUUACACCAAAUUUAAUUUUUUUUUUAGUCGACAUAAUAAAUUCGAAGUUGUAGUUCAGGCGUUUAUUUUACCGUAUUAUAAGUGCGAAAAUGUGUUCAUUUGUAACUUAAAUAAAAUUAAAUACUUAAAAAUUAAAUGAACUCUUUAUAA
Molecule: long non-coding RNA, 279 nt
Organism: Colias croceus (clouded yellow)
Lineage: Eukaryota; Metazoa; Arthropoda; Insecta; Lepidoptera; Pieridae
Exons: 2
Source: RefSeq, a predicted model, not a curated record